AUGUCGUUUAUUUUGUUACUUCAAUAGGAAAUCUCACAAUUAACCUUACAAUUAAAUUUUUACAAUGACUUAACCUUCAAAUUUUUGAACUCAAAAAGAUAAAUGUUGGUGACAAAAUUAAUGUAAAAAGGAUAAUCAACAUCUCGAAUCAAAUUAAAGGAUCUAAUGUUUCCUGAUCCUGUCUCUAUACUUGUUGCGCUGCUAUUGUUACCAUUAUCAUGAUAUUUUCAGAAAAUAUAUUGUGUGCUUUGUUAUAAAUAUAAAAAAGACCUUGUUAAAUGUUUCCAUGUUUAAUUAUUCAAGCCUAACCGUGAAGAAGGGCCAUUGACAGUCAACAGGAGCAACAAUUGCAAGCAACUCAAGUGGAUAUAAUGAUAGGAAUCGGAUUCCAUGAAAGGCUGUUUUAUUGCGUCUCAAAUUGAUUUUAGAUUCUAUUAUUUCGAUCAAAUUGAGUUACCUGUUGAAACAUUCGGACAAUUUAGUCUAUUAAAGUGAUAUUGUCAACAAAGCAAAACAGUUAGAGUGCAGAAACAAUGCCAUCAAGAAAGACUAGAUAAAUUAGCCAUUAAAUUUCUUGGUUUCAUUGAAAAUUAAUGGACAGCUUAAACAAAAACAUGAAAUUGAAUUAUAUUUGAAUUUGAAUCUUUAUAAUUGCAUCUUUCCGCUGUUAAAUGUUUCUUAUUCCAAUCUGGUAAUGGUCAGGUAAUGCUGCACUUUGAUUGUGUGUGUCUUGAUGGAUGAUUAUUCUGCUGGUUAGUGUUUGUGUUUAGUCAAGUUAAUUGGCUAAAGGAAGGGUCUGUUAGGGUUAGAUUUUAAUUUGGGUUCCUUGUUGGUUAAAUUGGGGUUAAAACCAGAAGAUUAUCUCACAGCCUUUAAUGCCUGCCUAUCAAUCAUUAUUAAUAACAAGAAAAUCAACUGCCAAUCCCUUGUUAAUAAGUAAUCCAAAUGGCUCAUGGUUAACCAAGCAAUGAGCAUUCCUAAUCAAGAGUGAUUCUUGGUCAAUUAGGCGAAUCAAAUUCAAUUUUUACAAUCACCGUAAACAUCAACAUCGACAAUGGAAUCACACUGAUUAACAAUGAAAAAAAGGCAACAAAUCGAGUUAAUCAAAAGUCCAUUUUACCAAUUGAAUGCUGCAAUCUUGAAAUCAAAUUCUCGAACCUCAAAGAGUAAAUAAAACCACAAUUAUUUGGAUAAUUGGUUUUCAUUAUCAUCAUCAACCAGUAAUUAACGAUCAUCAAUCAAAUAUCAAAUCAGAUUUAUCAUUAUAAUCGUGUUUGUAUGAGAAGCCGAGUCCAAACAUUGACAGGUAAUUACAACAAUCAAAAGUUAAAUUGUACGGUAAAAUAAACAAAUGUAUAAAAGUAUCAGAAAUGAUUAAGCUGAUUGUGGAAAACGAUUUUAAAUGAUUUAUUUUAACCCUUAAGCUAUGUGAAUGGUUAACUCAACAAGUUGUGAUUGAAUGUAACAAAUUUAAUAGAAGCCAAAUUUAAUUAAAAAACAAUCAAUUCAAAUUAGCCUUGUAUUGUCUCUAAUCAAUAGAUUAUCAAUUUAGCCUUUUCUCUAGUCACAAUCCUAUUAAUUUUCUUGUUUGAUCAUAGUAACAGUUUUACAAUUAAAAUGAAACAAAGCUUCAUUAUUAUACAAUACAAAUUGUGAAUUACGCUCUUUACGGUUCUUAUUAAUAACCUUGAUUGUUGCUAAUAAAUUAUCACAAUUGAAGGACAUCAUCAAAUACAACGUUAAUAACAAUGCUUAUUUAAUCUUCAUUUGUUCUCGCAAUUAACUAAACUUGGGUAAAAUAAACGCAUUGAAAUUUCCUCGGUCGUGAUGAGUAAACAUUGAAGUAAUGGCGUCUUGAAAAGGAAAGUUAACGUUUUUUUUUUUGCUUAUGGCUUAUCAAUUUUAUUUUCAUGAUUAACAUAACUAUUAUGGUUAUUAUAAUUUAAACCUUCUCAUAAUUUGAUCAAUUUACAAUUUACAAUUUGAUUAUGAUUAGGCAAACUCAUGUCAAAUUGAAAUGAUAAUUGAAUAAUUGUUCAAUAUUUCAAAAGAUUAUCAAGGGCAAAAGGAUUAUACUUUAAAGUGACUAAUAACCGAUUGGAAUUAAAACCAUUUCGACCCAAUUAGAAUGGAUUUUAAUGUGAUUAUUUUACCUUUUGGUAAACGCAUAUUGGGAGGAUUUGCCAUUAAGCCAAAGCUGUGAUUCAAUAGGAAAAAUCAUUUCUACUAUUCAAUCGUCAAAAUACGCAACUAAAUUGUUAACAAUUGGACAUAUCAUCAUCGUCUUUCUCAACCUAAUUGAUUCCUUUUCUUGCAUUAGUUCUGAUGAUCAACUAAUUGUUCAACUUGUAUCCACUUCGCCAUUUACGACCAUUAUUAUUGUGAAUGUUAACCCAUCAUUGUUAUUAUUAAUUUUGUAUUGUGCAUAUAAAUUGGCAAUUAUUUAAUUACAAUAGUAGCCAUAAUUACUCUCUCUCUCUAUUGAGGACAUCUUCAUUAUAAUUUUUUGAUUUACUCAGCAAUUUAUUCAAUUAUGCAUCAGACUAAAUGUUUAAGGCCAAUUGUUGCAAGAUUUACCAUCCAAAUGAUUAUGCAUUUGUGACUUAAUCAAUCUCAACCUUGACAUGAUCAAAUUAAUGAUUUAACUUGAACAAUCCAAUGAGUAAAGAUUGUGCACAAUUGGAUGGUCAUACAACUCGAGAUCAGUUUGAAUAAUGAUCGUUAAUACAGAUAAACCUGAUUUAGUUGAGCCACCAAAAUAAAAUUUUUGAUUAGCUUUUAUCAAUUUACACAAUCAGUAAGUUGUUUAAAAUUUAAGGCGUCCGUCAAAUCAUGAUAUUGUAACAAUCGACUAAUUUACACUCAAAAUUAAAAUGAACCAUUAAAAGUCAAGAUGGCAAAUAAUGAUGAUCUUGAAGACUGAA
Molecule: non-coding RNA, 2924 nt
Organism: Tetranychus urticae (two-spotted spider mite)
Lineage: Eukaryota; Metazoa; Arthropoda; Arachnida; Trombidiformes; Tetranychidae
Source: RefSeq, a predicted model, not a curated record